Molecule: ribosomal RNA, 123 nt
Filed under: Pteropus vampyrus (large flying fox)
Lineage: Eukaryota; Metazoa; Chordata; Mammalia; Chiroptera; Pteropodidae
Source: RNAcentral
AGCUAGGCAACUUUCUUCUUAAGACACGUUCUUUACAAAUGUAUUACUUCAUAAGCGAAGCAGGGUCGGGCCUCGUUAGUACUUGGAUGGGAGACCACCUAGGAAAACCAGAUGCUGUAGGUG